RNAcentral lists this long non-coding RNA (783 nucleotides) under Bos taurus (domestic cattle). RNAcentral describes it as "long non-coding RNA NONBTAT005493". The record is from RNAcentral. Lineage: Eukaryota; Metazoa; Chordata; Mammalia; Artiodactyla; Bovidae.
AAAGAGGGAAGAGGUGGUUGUGGAUUGGGAAGAAGGUGGCACACUUUAUCCAAGACCUGAUGAUUCUGGGAUGAUUGCUGCAGAAGUGGUCUGGCUUUCCAGGCUGAUUACUGCAGCGAGUUCUAUGGUCAUAUAUGGUCUGGCCACAGUCCUUUUGUGUAUUCAGUCUCUUAGAGGGAAAGAACUGCUGGAAUAGGAUGGGAAUGGACACAUACACACUUUAUCCAGCUCCCCAUCCCUCCCUGAGGUCAGUGGUGCUGCCUGUGAAGAUAAGGCUGGAGGACUGUGCUCCAAUUCAUUGCUUAUCUACUGCACCCACUAAAGUUGUUUUCUUUAAGGCCUAGCUUAAAGCCCAGCUCCUAUUGGAAGUUUUCUUUGAAUAGAUCCCUCUCAGUUAUUAGCCUUCCUAAUUCUCGUGGCUUAAUUCAGAUUCUUCAGAGCAAAUUCUCAUCUUCCUGCCUGUGUUUUGAAAACUUACAUUGAAUAUCUUCCUUUCACUUACUCAAUGCUGUUUCUUUAAAAACAGCAACAAAACCAAAAUACCCCUUCAACCCCACAGCUUUUUAUUGAACCAAAAAGAAAAUAGAGUAUUUAUGAUAAAGUGAUGUGUCUUGGAUUUACUUCAAAAUAAUCCACGCAGGCAUAGAAGGGGUGAGGGCAAAGAUGAAACAAGAAAGACUAUGAAUUGAAUAUUGUUGAAGUUGCAUGAUAGGAAGUAAAUGUUCAUGAUGUCUGACUUUUGUACAGUUUUGAUGUUUUCCAGAAUAAAAUCUUAAGUGUUAA